RNAcentral lists this long non-coding RNA (715 nucleotides) under Equus asinus (donkey). RNAcentral describes it as "lncRNA (ENSEASG00005032729.1)". Lineage: Eukaryota; Metazoa; Chordata; Mammalia; Perissodactyla; Equidae. The record is from RNAcentral.
AAAACAUUUAGACAGUACCAGAAAAAAAGCUUCCUGUCAGAGAAAAUCAUUAGAUUAAUACCAUCACUCGGGAAAUGCUAGACAUUUCCACUUGCUGAUCUGUUGGGAGCCCGCUGACUGGAGCUCUGGGGCAGGGGGUAAACAGACCCAACACUCUACCUCCCAGAGGAGAGAACUGGAUUCCAGUCACUGCCACUAACUAGACAUAAUACAGGAAAUGGCAUUUAAAAGAAGGAACCAAUACUAGCAGUGCAUAACAAUUCAAAUUCCUGGUUCCCUUUCUCCGGUCCUGACGUAAGGAAAUCAUGCAGAAGAAGUCCGCUGGCCUAGGACAAUCCAGAACACGGCUAAUUGCUCCUGCAUACAGCGGUCUUUGAAAUAUAUGAAGAACCAGCGUGCGGUACAUGAAAGGAGUGGCCAUGGCGGUAGUGAUGGAGGUUUUGUAUGGGCCCACCAGCAUGGACUCCCAUUUAAAAGGCCGAUAUAACCACUGCUGUCUCGGAAUUUCAAACACUGAGCCCCUGGAAUGAUGCUAUUCCUCAAAGAGGCUGCUUUAUGGCAAGUUGGCUACAUUGGGCCCCUUCAUUCCUAGAAAGGCCAGUGGCUCAUCAUCACAAGGAUAGAUGCCUAUUCCAAAUAUAGGUUUUCCUUUUCUGCCUGUAGAGUCUCAGCAAGCAUUGCUAUUUGGGGACUUAUGGAAUGCCUUGAUCCACAG